RNAcentral lists this non-coding RNA (30 nucleotides) under Rattus norvegicus (Norway rat). Lineage: Eukaryota; Metazoa; Chordata; Mammalia; Rodentia; Muridae. The record is from RNAcentral.
UGGGAUUUCAAAUAUGUGCUACCACCCUGU